AAUAUUGGACAAUGGGCGGGAGCCUGAUCCAGCCAUGCCGCGUGCAGGAAGAAUGCCCUAUGGGUAGUAAACUGCUUUUAUACGGGAAGAAAAAGGGCUACGUGUAGCCUACUGACGGUACCGUAAGAAUAAGGACCGGCUAACUCCGUGCCAGCAGCCGUGGUAAUACGGAGGGUCCGAGCGUUAUCCGGAAUUAUUGGGUUUAAAGGGUCCGUAGGCGGGCUAUUAAGUCAGUGGUGAAAGUCUGCAGCUCAACUGUAGAAUUGCCUUUGAUACUGAUAGUCUUGAGUUAUAGUGAAGUUGCCGGAAUAUGUAGUGUAGCGGUGAAAUGCAUAGAUAUUACAUAGAACACCGAUUGCGAAGGCAGGUGACUAACUGUAUACUGACGCUGAUGGACGAAAGCGUGGGGAGCGAACAGGAUUAGAUACCCUGGUAGUCCACGCCGUA
RNAcentral lists this ribosomal RNA (447 nucleotides) under uncultured marine bacterium. RNAcentral describes it as "bacterial SSU rRNA". It matches the Rfam family "Bacterial small subunit ribosomal RNA", at positions 360 to 804 of the family's 1533-position model. The record is from RNAcentral.